RNAcentral lists this ribosomal RNA (253 nucleotides) under Mediterraneibacter glycyrrhizinilyticus. Its description in RNAcentral is "partial 16S ribosomal RNA". It matches the Rfam family "Bacterial small subunit ribosomal RNA", at positions 524 to 776 of the family's 1533-position model. The record is from RNAcentral. Lineage: Bacteria; Bacillati; Bacillota; Clostridia; Lachnospirales; Lachnospiraceae.
UACGUAUGGUGCAAGCGUUAUCCGGAUUUACUGGGUGUAAAGGGAGCGUAGACGGAGAGGCAAGUCUGAUGUGAAAACCCGGGGCUCAACCCCGGGGCUGCAUUGGAAACUGUUUUUCUAGAGUGUCGGAGAGGUAAGUGGAAUUCCUAGUGUAGCGGUGAAAUGCGUAGAUAUUAGGAGGAACACCAGUGGCGAAGGCGGCUUACUGGACGAUGACUGACGUUGAGGCUCGAAAGCGUGGGGAGCAAACAGG